AAGGUGGUGCAUGGUUGUCGUCAGCUCGUGUCGUGAGAUGUUGGGUUAAGUCCCGCAACGAGCGCAACCCUCGUUCUAUGUUGCCAGCACGUAAUGGUGGGAACUCAUGGGAUACUGCCGGGGUCAACUCGGAGGAAGGUGGGGAUGACGUCAAAUCAUCAUGCCCCUUAUGUCUUGGGCUUCACGCAUGCUACAAUGGCCGGUACAAAGGGCUGCAAUACCGUAAGGUGGAGCGAAUCCCAAAAAGCCGGUCCCAGUUCGGAUUGAGGUCUGCAACUCGACCUCAUGAAGUCGGAGUCGCUAGUAAUCGCAGAU
RNAcentral lists this ribosomal RNA (315 nucleotides) under uncultured Actinomycetes bacterium. Its description in RNAcentral is "bacterial SSU rRNA". It matches the Rfam family "Bacterial small subunit ribosomal RNA", at positions 1035 to 1349 of the family's 1533-position model. The record is from RNAcentral. Lineage: Bacteria; Bacillati; Actinomycetota; Actinomycetes.